UAAAAAACAAAAAAAACAGAACGCUGCUUUUUAACGCAGCAGAGAAAUAGAAAAUUCAAGGGUUCCUUACAAACCACUAAUCCUUGAACUCAGAAUCGAUUGUUUGACUGGUAUCAAUUGGACUGGGACCUACGUAUUGGCUCGAGAAAUUUUGAGGAACCGGAUUUGCAGGCGAACAGGUUACGAGUUAGGACUUCCUUCCCUUCCAGUGAUAUUGGUGAGCUUCGCUUUUGUUCGUGGAGUAUUCUUAGAGUCAUUUUCAUUUAGCUAUUUCUUUGUUUAUCUAGAGAACUGACCAGGAAAUCUCAUGUCCUGAGCAGUGCGUCAGUUUAUCAGUAGAGGCUUCAUAGACAUAGUAAUUGGGUUGAGAUUCAUAUGUUAUUUUAUAAUAACUUAGCAAUAAUUCAGUAGUUACAAUGAAUAAAGUUUUGGAGUUGGUUUAUUUAAAUAUUUCAAUUAAUCAAGAGUAUUUGGUUAGAGUA
Molecule: non-coding RNA, 482 nt
Organism: Nicotiana tabacum (common tobacco)
Lineage: Eukaryota; Viridiplantae; Streptophyta; Magnoliopsida; Solanales; Solanaceae
Source: RefSeq, a predicted model, not a curated record